AUUUUACAAUCCACCUAGUACAAAGCGCUCAAUGUUCUCAAGUGGGUGGAUCCCCAUACUUUUGCUCUGGCAGGGUUUGGAAUUGCAUGAAUAUGGAUGCGGCGAUGAUGAAGCUGAUGAUGUGAAGAGAUGAUGAAGCCCUUCGUGACAAUGAGGAUGCAGAAGUGGAUGCUGACUAUCAACCACACUAGUGAAGUAGGAUGAGGUUGACAGCAACAACGAGGACCCGCUCAGCGCAGCAAGGAGCUAAACAGCUUCAAGGUUAAACUUGUCCUGUUAGGGGUCGCCACAGCGUCUCAUCUUAGAUGAACAUAUAUUUGUUUGGCACAGUUUUACGCCGGAUGCCCUUCCUGAUGCAACUCCUCUGCAUUUAGCUGGCGAGAAGUGAUCCCGAUGACCUUGUCAAGGAUUUCAGGCAAGCUUAUUCCGAGGCAUUGGAAUAUACACUGUGUGCAUAUUUUCAACCUCCCAUCACCUUACAAUUACUGUAAUGUCAAAAUCUUCAUGCCAGUCUUGUCAGUGUCAGACUUUAUUGACAUAGACAGGGCUGAAGUCUCCAUUGGAGGACUAUGUGUAUCUGUGAUGUGUCCUUUGACAGUGGGAGAGAAGCCCAGGAAACCACCCCUGCCCUUACGCCCUGGGUCAUCAAACAAAAGCAUCCAUCCAACACCUUUUGACAAGAGGUACAUCCGUAAGCAGUAACAAAGUAUGUGGUCCUACACCAGUCUCGGACACCCUACGGGUAACAACGAGGAAAUGACAGGUUGUUAGACUUGUCUCUAAAAGAGAAUUCCUUCCUCACUUGAUUUUUUUUUUCACCAACCUGAUUUUCAAGAAGUGUGUACUAAAAUGUUUUAGAAUGAGCUGCUACUUACAGUAUGUCCUAUUUCCAUUGGAUACAGAAGAGCUGAUAAUGGAUCACACAAGAGAAUUCGAACAGUGGAAGAGCCUGCCUGUGGCGUGUGGAAGAAGGAAACGUCCAACUUAAUAUCCUGUCUGGGGUGUGUACGCUCUCCAUCAGCCUCUAUCAGUGGAUCUGGCGGAUGGGCGGAUCAGGAGGGACAAAAUUGGACAUAAGAGGAGAUUUGAUGACCUUUCUACAACCUGGAGAGCAGGGUCAGAUGCAUCACCUCAUUUGUCACGAUUUCUGUGUACAAUUGUCUGUGCACUUGAGUCUUCUGAACAGGUGCCAUGUUUACUGUGCAUUUCCCAAGUACCAUAUUGUGUUUAGGCUUUGUCUCAAAUAGAAAAUGUUGUCAUUACACGUACCUUGAC
Molecule: long non-coding RNA, 1275 nt
Organism: Syngnathoides biaculeatus (alligator pipefish)
Lineage: Eukaryota; Metazoa; Chordata; Actinopteri; Syngnathiformes; Syngnathidae
Exons: 6
Source: RefSeq, a predicted model, not a curated record